Schizosaccharomyces pombe (fission yeast) is the source of this 270-nucleotide non-coding RNA. The record is from the annotation of a GenBank genome assembly. Lineage: Eukaryota; Fungi; Ascomycota; Schizosaccharomycetes; Schizosaccharomycetales; Schizosaccharomycetaceae.
CAAUGAUCAUUUGAAACCAUGAUACAGUUGGUUUUAAUCUUUUUCAGUAUAACUUGCCCAUAAAGCCACCAACUCGUUUCUCGUAACUGGCUCUGCCAAAAUUAAACCGUCUCGUACAACCUGUUUAGCCUCUUCUAUGCGAUGCAUUGCCUCCAAAGCCUUUGCUUUCCUAUAAUAACACUUUCCAUAAUUAUUUCGAAUUUUCAAAGCAGCAUUUGCAUCUGCUAAAGCUUCGGGGAAUUGGGAAAGGGCAAUCUCAGCAGCCGCCCG